CUACGGGGGGCUCCAGUGGGGAAUAUUGCACAAUGGAGGAAACUCUGAUGCAGCAACGCCGCGUGGAGGAUGACACUUUUCGGAGCGUAAACUCCUUUUAUAUAGGAAGAAGAUGACGGUACUAUAUGAAUAAGCGCCGGCUAACUCCGUGCCAGCAGCCGCGGUAAUACGGAGGGCGCAAGCGUUACUCGGAAUCACUGGGCGUAAAGAGCGUGUAGGCGGAUUAAAAAGUCAGAAGUGGAAUCCUAUAGCUUAACUAUAGAACUGCUUCUGAAACUCUUAAUCUAGUAUGUGGGAGAGGUAGAUGGAAUUUCUGGUGUAGGGGUAAAAUCCGUAGAGAUCAGAAGGAAUACCGAUUGCGAAGGCGAUCUACUAGAACAUUAUUGACGCUGAGACGCAAAAGCGUGGGGAGCAAACAGGAUUAGAUACCCCAGUAGUC
RNAcentral lists this ribosomal RNA (439 nucleotides) under uncultured bacterium. Its description in RNAcentral is "partial 16S ribosomal RNA". It matches the Rfam family "Bacterial small subunit ribosomal RNA", at positions 339 to 795 of the family's 1533-position model. The record is from RNAcentral.